Molecule: long non-coding RNA, 247 nt
Organism: Haliotis rubra (blacklip abalone)
Lineage: Eukaryota; Metazoa; Mollusca; Gastropoda; Lepetellida; Haliotidae
Exons: 3
Source: RefSeq, a predicted model, not a curated record
UAGAUCAUAAGGUCAACACUUGAUCUGAGAGAGAAGCGUUCUAUUUUCGGUUUGAGAAGAGAUUGUUUGAAACGGGAUGGUUACUGCUUCUAUGAUAUUUUACAUAACGAAUAAUCUUCUUGGAGUUGCAUAACUUGCCACAGUGUUUGAAAGCUAUAUCAAAGUUGGGAACCCUGACUGUGCAUGGAGCAGCACUAAGAAAGUAUCCUGAAAUUAUAUCAACUGUGAAGAAGUGUCGGCACUUUGC